Long non-coding RNA from Hyla sarda, 2315 nucleotides. RefSeq lists it as uncharacterized. The transcript is spliced from 5 exons. NCBI's taxonomy places the organism in Eukaryota, Metazoa, Chordata, Amphibia, Anura, Hylidae. The record is from RefSeq and is a predicted model, not a curated record.
UGCGCUCUUGCUCCUGAGCUGCAAAGCAAGCAGCAUCUCUUGGGUUCCGGACUAUCAGAGAGAGAAGAUCUGUGCGACUUACCAGGCAAAACCAGGCCUGAAGCCUAACAAUCCCGCAACUUACUAACCGGUAAAUGAAAAGGACACCCUUAACUGACCAGGAGGUUGAGGUUCUCCACAAUAGCAGUAAGACAAGUGAAAGUUCAAAGUCUCCAUAAUGACCCAGUUACAACUUGCUGUAAUGGAAACUCAUGAUAUGCAUACAAAAAGACUGUUGUCUCAAUCUGCAACUAAUGCAACAGCUGUAGGCACCCUGAUUGAAAGCCACAGGUCUUUUGAGGGAUGCAUAGCCAUUUAGUCCCAAGACAAGCACAGGUCCUUUACUGUCUGCCAGAACACAUCACAGUGAUCUCAUCCCUCCCUGCUUCCAGCUUGUGGUCUAAAGAAGGCUCCUAUACUAUUUACUGAGAGCGAAUUUUCGCAAACAUGAGAAUAUCCUCAUAUUCGCAAAUAUCAUCCCUAAAGAAUAUUAGGAGAUAGAUAAUAUAGAUAGUUAUCCGCAUGCGUGCACAUGUCUGCGCAUACGAAAAUAACUGUAAAUAUAUCAAAUUUGCAAAUUUCGCGAAUAUAGGACUAAUAGGACUAAUAUUAGUGCAUAAUUGCAAAAUAUCGCGAGUUUGAUUAUGGCAUAUGCCUCUCAUCACUAUUGGAGAUUGGUUAAGCUUGAAUAGAAGCACCCUUGCAGUCACAAUUUGUACAUACAAGUUCUACAUUUUUAUCUUGGAGGGAUGACUGCUACAGCUAUAAACAGGCAUGUAAUGGAGAAUGCUUUCUUUUCCUUUUUACAGUAUGUGUAGAAGUUCUCUCUGCCAGCACUUGGUGUGUUUGAUUAGUUACAGUAACUAGAGCUUAUAAAAUAUCCAGAGACUGAGCUAAGGGACUGCACAAACAUUCUGCCACGGAAGCAGGACUCUGUAGGUGUAGAAAAGGGUUAACCCAUUCUGGCCCGGCGGAUGAAAAAGAAUAUGGCAAUUUUUUUCAUCUUUUCCUUAUGAUAUGUUUAACUUUAGAAAUAUACUAUGUAAUUUUAGUACAUAGCAAAAAAUAAAUAAAUAAACAUCUUUCUUUCUAACCUGACCACAGGUGCCAUAGUUCAGCUCAGGUCCUGUUCACAUCACGUACCAGGGCUCUAUCAGCAGUAUACUGUUGAGGGUAUUUUGAUGUAUACCACAACAUGCCCACAGAGUAGCCAUAGGGUUGGAAAGCGUUCACUUGGACUAUACGUAAAUAUGUUUUUGUCUGGUUCACAAUGAUAUCAGGCUAGGGAUACAUUUUUCCUACUACAGUCCAUUGCAAAUUUGCAUUCAAAUUGUAAGAAACUAAAGAUUUAUCCAAUGCAUGUCGCAGUUAUUUAGAUUAUCAGAAGUAUUUUGGUGGUUUGACUUAUUGUAAAUUAUAAAUGCUGCUUUAAGUAAUUCCAAAAGGAAAGCUGCUCUCCACCACAGUCAAUUAAUAUGCAAAUAACAGGAAAACAGCUGAAGUGUGAAGCGCACCAAAUGUUGGCCACCCACAGUCUCAGGAAGGACACAUUACAUGACGCAAGUUCUUUUAAUUGGGUAAGCUAGGGUCCUAGCCCAUGGCCACUGUACAACUUCGCUUUAGGGCCCCCGACAAGUGAUAACUAAUCUGACACAGUUCCCACGGCUUUAUCUGAGGUUUGUAACCUGGUCUCGGCUAAACAUGAUCCACAUUUUACUGAGAAAUGUGUAACUAAUUGUCGGGUUAAUCAGAUGGUUUCCAGCCCUGUGGAAAGACAGAAUUCCCACGUGCAGAAGAAAAGGAGUCAGAAAAAUAGCAAACAUUAGUACAAACGCUUGAAAGCUCCUGGUCGAUGAAGACUAGAAGAUAAGCCAUAUAACAGUUCACAGUGUAUAAAGUACUGUAUUAGGCAAUGUCCACAUUUUGUGUGUAUUUUUUCCACUCUACAUAGAUAUAUUUAAUAAUCCACAAUAGGGUUAUUCCCCUUGCACACCACAUUCACACGAUCAUCUUUUUUCGAUUAAAAGAAGAGGAACAGUUCCCAGGACAAGGGAAAGUACAGGCCCAUGUAAGUUAACAAAGGUUUCCACAAAUCUACAGUGAAUUCCAGCUUUUGUAAACUGUCUUAUUGAAAAACAUUGAUUUUUCAACUUCAUCGACUGCAAUGAUACUGUAUCCAAACCAAAAGUAGUUUGUUCAAUAAAAGGAAAAUGAAUGGGGUACUCCUGCACUUUAAAACCCACUCUGUCUACAGGAUAGGGCAUAAAAGUGUCUGA